GGAGUCAUAGCUCAGUGGUAGAGCGAAGGAUUGCAGUAAAUCUUUCAUGAUCAUGAAGUAGUUAUCCUUAGGUCGCCGGUUCGAACCCGGCUGGCUCCU
Non-coding RNA from Hypoxylon sp. CI-4A, 99 nucleotides. The record is from the annotation of a GenBank genome assembly. NCBI's taxonomy places the organism in Eukaryota, Fungi, Ascomycota, Sordariomycetes, Xylariales, Hypoxylaceae.